Helianthus annuus (common sunflower) is the source of this 326-nucleotide long non-coding RNA. RefSeq lists it as uncharacterized. NCBI's taxonomy places the organism in Eukaryota, Viridiplantae, Streptophyta, Magnoliopsida, Asterales, Asteraceae. The transcript is spliced from 2 exons. The record is from RefSeq and is a predicted model, not a curated record.
UUUCUUCCAUAGCUACAGUUCUUCAAGCAGGAAUAGGACACCAACCGGGUCCUGCCAUUGGCUGGGGCGGUAGCUGGAGGUGUUGGGGUGAUCGUAGAUGCCACAUGAGAAAAGUAGGCCCGCAUGGGUAGGAGUACCAUCACCAGAUGCCGGUACCGGGGAUAGUGUGGUCACCUGAAGGCUGAAGUCAUGUUAAAGAUGUUGUGUUGCUUAUAAAGGAUAUGUAUGUACUUUAAUAUCUACUUUUUUACAAUAAUUAGUAAGAACUAGUACCAUGCGUUCAAAACUAUUAUUAAAUCUAUUAUUAUAAAGACACCCUUCAUUAA